AUUCCACCUAACAUGACGUACUGGAAAAUAUUACUGAAUUUUAGGCUCUCACAGAGUCUCUGUGAUUUAAAUUAUUUUGGAUUUCUUCAUUUUUUUCUUUCUUUGGCGUUGAGAUUUUAAACGAAAAUCGAAAGACAAUGGCAACAUUUUCAAGGUACAACGAAGAUCGCCCGUACGAGGUAUGUAUUUUACUAUUUAGAAUUCGAUUCACGUACGUCGUACGAGUCGGGAAAAACUGUAAAAGUUCAAUAUUUUUAAUCAUCACAGGUUGCAAAUGUCCCUGCAGAGUUUGAUAGUACUCAUGACCUGGAUAUGGACAAAAAGUCGUCACUGGAUGAACAUAUUUCAGAGGUAUUUUAAUGAAUUUUGAAGAAGA
Paramuricea clavata is the source of this 376-nucleotide non-coding RNA. The record is from the annotation of a GenBank genome assembly. NCBI's taxonomy places the organism in Eukaryota, Metazoa, Cnidaria, Anthozoa, Malacalcyonacea, Plexauridae.